UACAGAGGGGGCAAGCGUUGUUCGGAAUUACUGGGCGUAAAGGGCGCGUAGGUGGCCUUCUAAGUUGAACGUGAAAUCCCUGGGCUCAACCCAGGAACUGCGUCCAAGACUGGGAGGCUUGAAUCCGGGAGAGGGAUGUGGAAUUCCGGGUGUAGCGGUGGAAUGCGUAGAGAUCCGGAAGAACACCGGUGGCGAAGGCGGCCUGCUGGGCAGUAGCUGACGCUGAAGCGCGACAGCGUGGGGAGCAAACAGG
RNAcentral lists this ribosomal RNA (253 nucleotides) under uncultured bacterium. RNAcentral's name for it is "partial 16S ribosomal RNA". It matches the Rfam family "Bacterial small subunit ribosomal RNA", at positions 524 to 776 of the family's 1533-position model. The record is from RNAcentral.